RNAcentral lists this long non-coding RNA (2420 nucleotides) under Physcomitrium patens. RNAcentral's name for it is "long non-coding RNA (PPAT_LNC008537)". The record is from RNAcentral. Lineage: Eukaryota; Viridiplantae; Streptophyta; Bryopsida; Funariales; Funariaceae.
GGGGUUGGAAAGUCUUUGGCUGACCCUGCCCUGCUGUUGCUGCUGCUGCCCUUUCAAUGACAGAGUGAAUGGGUUCAGUGCUGCAAGCUUGAUCAUGACCACAUGCUGCGGUCGCGCUGGGGGCUUCCAAUGAUCCACGGUGCCAGGACGUAGGGAUUGCGGUGCACAGGCGCCACAAUUGGACCAGGUCCGGGCGGCUGGAUAGGUUGGAUGAGGUUUCGGACUUUCACCACAGCGACUGAGAUUUCUGCAGACGCUUGAGUAACGCUCUCAAUCAUUCCGGUGCCUGAAAGGUAAACUCCCGCCUUGAAAGACGAGACGAGGCGGAGCUUGGUACUGGAGGAAUGUUGGACUGCAUCAUUCGGUACUGAAUUCCUUUCACACCUGGGGAGCCGCGCCAAUCUUUGGUGCCGUGUUGUGAGCUCGUCGCGAUUCUCCGUUGAAUCUCGUGAGAAUUGUAGAGAUGCUUCCAAAAGCAAUCAAAUUAAUUCAUGAAUAAGAGUGCUUCCAUUUGUUUUUUGUUUUUUGUUUUUGUUUUUUUCAUCAGGUAAAUCAGUUACAAGGUGAUGGAAGUUGUCAUCCAACCAUAUUUGAAAAGUAUUGUGACGAGUAGUCUACAUAAAAGAAAUAGAUUCCUCGUCCGUCCUUCUAAACUUGACUUCGUUGCCGUAAGUAAACUGUGUGUGUGUGUGUGCGCGCGUUUUUCUUCUCACGAGUUAUUUUGGAAUUGGUGCAUGAGGAUUUCGAGGUCUGGAAAUCCACAUUUCGCUCUGAGUUCACCGCAUGUGCAACAAAGAUAAGUUGACCAUGAAUCGAACAGCUGUUACACAGGUGUUAGAAGGCGUUGUUGUUUUAUUACCGCUGAUUCAUCCUGAAUGCAACUGAUCGAUGUAGAACGUACACACAGCGUUCGAGGCAUAGGAACACUUGAGAGCAGCGACUUGUCUUGCUGUAGUCGGAACUGAGUCGCCACCAUGCUGGUGGAUUCUUGCUCUGGAUUCCUGCAGUGUUCCAUCUUCCUUUCCGACACAGCCUAACAUGCACUGUCAAGCUCCGGCUCACACGAUCUUGUUUUCGAGCUUGUUCUUCUUACAUCUAGUCAGGAUUUUCUAUCUUUGAAGUUCAGGCCUACUGUAUUAUAUAUAUAUAUAUAUAUAUAUAGAUAGGAUCAAUACUUUAAGAAUCUCAACUUUUUCUUCUACCUUCCUCGCACUUAAGGUUAAUUUUUUUUUUUUUUUUUUUUUUUUUUCUGUUCCUCUGUUUGCUACUUCCGUUGUUGUUCUAACAUGCAACGUGUAUACAUUUCUUUAUACAUAUAUAUAUAUAUAUAUAUAUAUUAAAACUGUUGACCUGUUAAGUUUAUACAGACAAGGAAGAAAUCUACAUGCACACAUGGCAGGAUUUGACUUUGUAUUAUUAGCUGACCCAAUGUCCAGCUGUACCAAAUUUAUGGUAUGAACACUCUCCAGGAAUCCAAUUCUCAACAAACUUAUUUUUCGGCAUAAAUAGUGUUUACUAUUGAUUUCUAUAUUAACUAAUCAAAUGUAUUUUGUCUGCUUAGAGUCUGCCACCUCCACAAUUUUGUAUGAAGAAUCUAAAUAUGUGACUUUUGACCCCAAAAAGAAACACGAUUCAAAGAAAGUAACUAUAUGAUACAGUUGUAGUGUCUGUAUAUAUAUAUAUAUAUAUAUAUAUGAGAUGUGCAUAAUGUUGAAAGUAAUAUUGUGCCACUUGCACAAGUCUCUUCAUUCACACACAACUCCAUAAGUUCUUAGUGCACAAUUUUGAUGGUACACAAAGAUUAUUAUUAUUAUUUUUAAAUUCUAUUAAUUUAUUAAUUUAUUUUUUCAUUGUUCAAUGUGAUUCAAGGCAAUAUACUUCUAGACACACACACCUGCAAAACAAGAGUACACAAGUGCCAUUAAAUGUCAUACCAAACUGUAACAUUCUCUUUUUCUCAUGAAAAUACUCCCAAAAAGGAACUCAUCAAAACAAAACCCACUAAUGCCAAAGUGAGGGUUUCCCACAUCCAAAUAGCUAAGCGUUCACUUUCUCUCCAUUUUUCAGAUUGCUACACAACCUUGUGCAAAGGAAGUUCCACAAACCAAUAAAAGUAAAAGGGGAUGGGGGAGGCAAACGAGGCAAUGGUGAUGGAGACAGAGUUUUGUUGUUGAGGAAUGUGCAAGAGCUCCACGCUCCCAACAAACAAACAAACAAACAAACAAAUAAAUAAAUAAAUAAAUAAAUAAAUAAAUAAAAUUGGCACUUGGGUUCUUGCUCACUUGCUCAUUGGCAUGGGAUUCACUCACUCACUCCAUUAUUGAUAAGCAUAAUCCCAAUUGGCAGGGUCUCUUUAAGCCUGCACCCCAUGUGCUAUCAUUGGGGGCUAUGGUGGUGCCUAGUCUUUGUUGCCCAUAAAA